UGAGUGCGAGCUGCUACGGCAGCGAAGUUGGUGACGUCAAGCUUCCAAGAAAAGCCCUAUACCCGUUAAGGCAUGAUUGCCUGUACCCGAAACCGACACAGGUGGGGUGGUAGAGAAUACCGAGGGGCGCGAGGUAACUCUCUCUAAGGAACUCGGCAAAAUGACCCCGUAACUUCGGGAGAAGGGGUGCCACCGCAAGGUGGUCGCAGUGAAUAGGCCCAGGCGACUGUUUACCAAAAACACAGGUCUCCGCUAAGUCGCAAGACGAUGUAUGGGGGCUGACGCCUGCCCAGUGCCGGAAGGUUAAGGAAGUUGGUCAGCGAAAGCGAAGCUAGCGACUGAAGCCCCGGUGAACGGCGGCCGUAACAAUAACGGUCCUAAGGUAGCGAAAUUCCUUGUCGGGUAAGUUCCGACCCGCAAAAGGCGUAACGAUCUGGGCGCUGUCUCGGAGAGAGGCUCGGCGAAAUAGAAUUGUCUGUGAAGAUGCGGACUACGUGCACCUGGACAGAAAGACCCUAUGAAGCUUUACUGUAGCUUGGUAUUGUGUCCGGGCUCUGAAUGCGCAGGAUAGGUGGGAGGCUUUGAUCCAUUGCUUGCGGGUGAUGGUGAGCCAACGGUGAGAUACCACUCUUUCAGAGCUAGGAUUCUAACGGUCACCCGUCAUCCGGGGACCGGACAGUAUCUGGUGGGCAGUUUGACUGGGGCGGUCGCCUCCUAAAAGGUAACGGAGGCGCGCAAAGGUCUGCUCAGGCUGGUUGGAAAUCAGCCGACGAGUGCAAAAGCAGAAGCAGGCUUGACUGUGAGACCCACAAGUCGAACAGGGGGGAAACCCGGCUUUAGUGAUCCGACGGUUCUGAGUGGAAGGGCCGUCGCUCAACGGAUAAAAGUUACUCUAAGGAUAACAGGCUGAUCUCCCCCAAGAGUUCACAUCGACGGGGAGGUUUGGCACCUCGAUGUCGGCUCAUCGCAACCUGGGGCUGAAGUCGGUCCCAAGGGUUGGGCUGUUCGCCCAUUAAAGCGGUACGCGAGCUGGGUUCAGAACGUCGUGAGACAGUUCGGUCCAUAUCCGGUGCAUGCGCAGGAAUAUUGAGAGGAUUUCUCCCUAGUACGAGAGGACCGGGAGGAACGCACCUCUGGUGUACCAGUUAUCGUGCCAACGGUAAACGCUGGGUAGCCAUGUGCGGAGUGGAUAGCCGCUGAAAGCAUCUAAGUGGGAAGCCCACCUCAAGAUGAGUAUUCCCAUGGCGUUAGCCAGUAAGGUCACGGGCAGAACACCCGUUGAUAGGCUCUACGUGGAAGCGCAGUAAUGUGUGAAGCGGAGGAGUACUAAUAGACC
This 1336-nucleotide ribosomal RNA is filed under the name metagenome. RNAcentral describes it as "bacterial LSU rRNA". It matches the Rfam family "Bacterial large subunit ribosomal RNA", at positions 1564 to 2910 of the family's 2925-position model. The record is from RNAcentral.